CAGCCGCGGUAAUACGUAGGGUGCAAGCGUUAAUCGGAAUUACUGGGCGUAAAGCGUGCGCAGGCGGUUUUGUAAGACAGAGGUGAAAUCCCCGGGCUCAACCUGGGAACUGCCUUUGUGACUGCAAGGCUAGAGUACGGCAGAGGGGGAUGGAAUUCCGCGUGUAGCAGUGAAAUGCGUAGAUAUGCGGAGGAACACCGAUGGCGAAGGCAAUCCCCUGGGCCUGUACUGACGCUCAUGCACGAAAGCGUGGGGAGCAAACAGGAUUAGAUACCCCUGUAGUCCCUGUCUCUUAUACACA
This 301-nucleotide ribosomal RNA is filed under the name uncultured bacterium. Its description in RNAcentral is "partial 16S ribosomal RNA". It matches the Rfam family "Bacterial small subunit ribosomal RNA", at positions 512 to 810 of the family's 1533-position model. The record is from RNAcentral.